GGAGGCUUAGCUCAGUUGGCAGAGCAGCAGACUCUUAAUCUGCGGGUCGUGGGUUCGAGCCCCACAGCCUCUACCA
RNAcentral lists this transfer RNA (76 nucleotides) under Betaproteobacteria bacterium ADurb.Bin341. RNAcentral describes it as "tRNA-Lys". It matches the Rfam family "tRNA". Rfam says of the family: Transfer RNA (tRNA) molecules are approximately 80 nucleotides in length. Their secondary structure includes four short double-helical elements and three loops (D, anti-codon, and T loops). Further hydrogen bonds mediate the characteristic L-shaped molecular structure. tRNAs have two regions of fundamental functional importance: the anti-codon, which is responsible for specific mRNA codon recognition, and the 3' end, to which the tRNAs corresponding amino acid is attached (by aminoacyl-tRNA synthetases). tRNAs cope with the degeneracy of the genetic code in two manners: having more than one tRNA (with a specific anti-codon) for a particular amino acid; and 'wobble' base-pairing, i.e. permitting non-standard base-pairing at the 3rd anti-codon position. RNAcentral also lists the same sequence under 1 other name. The record is from RNAcentral. Lineage: Bacteria; Pseudomonadati; Pseudomonadota; Betaproteobacteria.